AGCAUAUCAAUAAGCGGAGGAUAAGAAACCAACAGGGAUUGUCUUAGUAACGGCGAGUGAAGCGACAAAAGCUCAAAUUUGAAAUCUGGCACCUUCGGUGUCCGAGUUGUAAUUUGAAGAAGGUAACUUUGGAGUUGGCUCUUGUCUAUGUUCCUUGGAACAGGACGUCACAGAGGGUGAGAAUCCCGUGCGAUGAGAUGUCCAACUCUAUGUAAAGUGCUUUCGAAGAGUCGAGUUGUUUGGGAAUGCAGCUCUAAGUGGGUGGUAAAUUCCAUCUAAAGCUAAAUAUUGGCGAGAGACCGAUAGCGAACAAGUACAGUGAUGGAAAGAUGAAAAGAACUUUGAAAAGAGAGUGAAAAAGUACGUGAAAUUGUUGAAAGGGAAGGGUUUGAGAUCAGACUUGGUAUUUUGUAUGUCUUGCUUUCGGGUGGGGCCUCUGCAGUUUACUGGGCCAGCAUCGGUUUGGACGGUAGGAUAAUGACAUUGGAAUGUGGCAC
RNAcentral lists this ribosomal RNA (497 nucleotides) under Scheffersomyces shehatae. RNAcentral describes it as "eukaryotic LSU rRNA". It matches the Rfam family "Eukaryotic large subunit ribosomal RNA", at positions 37 to 541 of the family's 3401-position model. The record is from RNAcentral. Lineage: Eukaryota; Fungi; Ascomycota; Pichiomycetes; Serinales; Debaryomycetaceae.